RNAcentral lists this ribosomal RNA (301 nucleotides) under uncultured bacterium. Its description in RNAcentral is "partial 16S ribosomal RNA". It matches the Rfam family "Bacterial small subunit ribosomal RNA", at positions 509 to 807 of the family's 1533-position model. The record is from RNAcentral.
CAGUCGCCGCGGUAAUACGAAGGGUGCAAGCGUUACUCGGAAUUACUGGGCGUAAAGCGAGCGUAGGUGGUGGUUUAAGUCCGUUGUGAAAGCCCUGGGCUCAACCUGGGAAUUGCAGUGGAUACUGGGUCACUAGAGUGUGGUAGAGGAUAGUGGAAUUUCCGGUGUAGCAGUGAAAUGCGUAGAGAUCGGAAGGAACAUCUGUGGCGAAGGCGACUAUCUGGGCCAACACUGACACUGAGGCACGAAAGCGUGGGGAGCAAACAGGAUUAGAUACCCGGGUAGUCCCUGUCUCUUAUAC